UCCUACGGGAGGCAGCAGUAGGGAAUAUUGGACAAUGGGGGAAACCCUGAUCCAGCCAUGCCGCGUGAGUGAUGAAGGCCUUAGGGUUGUAAAGCUCUUUUAACGGGGAAGAUAAUGACGGUACCCGUAGAAUAAGCCCCGGCUAACUUCGUGCCAGCAGCCGCGGUAAUACGAAGGGGGCUAGCGUUGCUCGGAAUCACUGGGCGUAAAGCGCACGUAGGCGGACUCUUAAGUCGGGGGUGAAAUCCUGGAGCUCAACUCCAGAACUGCCUUCGAUACUGGGAGUCUUGAGUCCGGGAGAGGUGAGUGGAACUGCGAGUGUAGAGGUGAAAUUCGUAGAUAUUCGCAAGAACACCAGUGGCGAAGGCGGCUCACUGGCCCGGUACUGACGCUGAGGUGCGAAAGCGUGGGGAGCAAACAGGAUUAGAUACCCUUGUAGUC
RNAcentral lists this ribosomal RNA (441 nucleotides) under uncultured Rhodoplanes sp. Its description in RNAcentral is "bacterial SSU rRNA". It matches the Rfam family "Bacterial small subunit ribosomal RNA", at positions 337 to 795 of the family's 1533-position model. The record is from RNAcentral. Lineage: Bacteria; Pseudomonadati; Pseudomonadota; Alphaproteobacteria; Hyphomicrobiales; Nitrobacteraceae.